RNAcentral lists this long non-coding RNA (497 nucleotides) under Lupinus angustifolius (narrow-leaved blue lupine). RNAcentral's name for it is "long non-coding RNA (LANG_LNC001947)". Lineage: Eukaryota; Viridiplantae; Streptophyta; Magnoliopsida; Fabales; Fabaceae. The record is from RNAcentral.
CCUUCUCCUCUAUAAAGUUAGACAUUUCUCCUUUUCCUUUGUAGUUGGGUAAUUUUGUGUAGCACUCAGAGGCAUAAUGGCCAAACUUAUGGCAUCUGUAGCACUCUAACUUGGACUUUUCAUAAAUUCGACAUCUUCCUUAUUGUUGGUAAGGAUGUUGAAAUCUCUAUUUCCUCGACCUCCAUGUCCUCCUCCUCUACCCCUACCCCUUCCUAUGAAGUUAUUGGCAUGAGUAUUGGUAGUAGCCUUCAAUGCUUGUUCCUCCAUUGUUGAACUUCUAUGCAUCUUUUGUUCACAUAGUUGUGUCUUAGCACUUUGCACAAAUAGUUGGUGUAGAAUAAAAAAGAAAUUUACGUUAUACUUCCUUUUUCUCUCUAGCUCUGAUACCAGUGUUAGUUGUAGAAGAUUGUGAACUGAUAUAUCUUAUUGUACUAAAUUACUGCCUUUAAAAAGGUAGAUAAAGAGAGGUUACAAUCAGUUUCAAAGUUAUACAUAAU